GGGUCAGUAGGUUGGUCGUGCCACCGGUGCGUACUGGCCUCACUGAUUCCUCCUUCCUGAAGAACCGUAAUGCCAUUAAUUUGGUGUUGCGGGGAAACAGGACUGUUACUUUGAAAAAAUUAGAGUGUUUAAAGCAAGCUAACGCUUGAAUACAUUAGCAUGGAAUAAUGAAAUAGGACGAUCGAUCCUAUUUUGUUGGUUUCUAGGAUUGACGUA
This 216-nucleotide ribosomal RNA is filed under the name Glomeromycotina sp. Its description in RNAcentral is "partial small subunit ribosomal RNA". The stretch from base 40 to 216 matches the Rfam family "Eukaryotic small subunit ribosomal RNA", at positions 686 to 864 of the family's 1831-position model. The record is from RNAcentral. Lineage: Eukaryota; Fungi; Glomeromycota.